CUAGCAUUUAUUUCUCUCUAGCAUCCUAACUUCAAUCACAACCACACAUGGGACAACACAACCAAACAAACAUGUAUCAACUACCAAUCAGCCAUUACCACAACAAUUCAAUUCAGUUCAUCAAGUCCCAUUUAUCAAUAUGAGGGUUCUUAUGCAUCAUGAUCCAUUCCUCUAUCAUCCUAGCAAUACCAUGUACUAUCAACCUAACUCCCAAACAGGGUCUAAUCAAACCUAACUCCAACAUAUAGGAGUAUACAGAACCAUGAAAGAAGGUUGGGUUCGAAACACUCCAC
This 293-nucleotide long non-coding RNA is filed under the name Brassica rapa (field mustard). RNAcentral describes it as "long non-coding RNA (BRAP_LNC008435)". The record is from RNAcentral. Lineage: Eukaryota; Viridiplantae; Streptophyta; Magnoliopsida; Brassicales; Brassicaceae.